This 468-nucleotide ribosomal RNA is filed under the name uncultured bacterium. RNAcentral describes it as "partial 16S ribosomal RNA". It matches the Rfam family "Bacterial small subunit ribosomal RNA", at positions 28 to 507 of the family's 1533-position model. The record is from RNAcentral.
GACGAACGCUGGCGGCGUGCUUAACACAUGCGAGUCGAACGGAAAGGCCCUGCUUUUGUGGGGUGCUCGAGUGGCGAACGGGUGAGUAACACGUGAGUAACCUGCCCUUGACUUUGGGAUAACUUCAGGAAACUGGGGCUAAUACCGGAUAGGAGCUCCUGCUGCAUGGUGGGGGUUGGAAAGUUUCGGCGGUUGGGGAUGGACUCGCGGCUUAUCAGCUUGUUGGUGGGGUAGUGGCUUACCAAGGCUUUGACGGGUAGCCGGCCUGAGAGGGUGACCGGCCACAUUGGGACUGAGAUACGGCCCAGACUCCUACGGGAGGCAGCAGUGGGGAAAAUUGCACAAUGGGCGGAAGCCUGAUGCAGCAACGCCGCGUGCGGGAUGACGGCCUUCGGGUUGUAAACCGCUUUCGCCUGUGACGAAGCGUGAGUGACGGUAAUGGGUAAAGAAGCACCGGCUAACUACGUG